This 931-nucleotide non-coding RNA is filed under the name Omnitrophica WOR_2 bacterium GWA2_45_18. Its description in RNAcentral is "bacterial SSU rRNA". It matches the Rfam family "Bacterial small subunit ribosomal RNA", at positions 1 to 895 of the family's 1533-position model. The record is from RNAcentral. Lineage: Bacteria; Pseudomonadati; Candidatus Omnitrophota.
AUUUCGGAGAGUUUGAUCCUGGCUCAGAGUGAACGCUGGCGGCGUGGAUUAGGCAUGCAAGUCGAGCGAUGAUCAGGGGAUCAAGGCCGCAAGGCCGAGUGAAUUUGAUCAUAGCGGCAAACGGGUUAGUAACACGUGAGUAAUCUGCCCCAAAACUAAACAUAGCUUCGUGAAAACGGAGGUAAUAUUUAAUAUGAUCCUGUUAUCGCAUGGUAGUAGGAUUAAAGGCAGGGACCGAAAGGCCUGCUGUUUUGGGAUGAGCUCGCGUCCUAUCAGCUAGUUGGUAGGGUAAUGGCCUACCAAGGCUUAUGACGGGUAGCUGGUCUGAGAGGACGAUCAGCAACACUGGGACUGAGACACUGCCCAGACUCCUACGGGAGGCUGCAGUCGAGAAUCUUUAGCAAUGGGCGAAAGCCUGACUAUGCGACGCCGCGUGCAGGAUGAAGGUUUUCGGAUCGUAAACUGCUUUUGUCAGGAAAGAAAAUCCUGGCGUUAAUAGCGCCAGGACUGACGGUACCUGACGAAUAAGCCACGGCCAACUCCGUGCCAGCAGCCGCGGUAAUACGGAGGUGGCGAGCGUUACUCGGAAUUAUUGGGUGUAAAGGGCAAGUAGGUGGUUUGCUAAGUGAGGGGUGAAAUCUUCCGACUCAAUCGGAAAAUUGCCUUUCAAACUGGCAGACUUGAGGAUGGAAGAGGGAAAUGGAAUUCGCGGUGUAAGGGUGAAAUCUGUAGAUAUCGCGAAGAACACCGGCGGCGAAGGCGAUUUCCUGGUCCAUAUCUGACGCUAAACUGCGAAAGCUAGGGGAGCAAACAGAAUUAGAUACUCUGGUAGUCCUAGCCGUAAACGAUGAGCACUAGGUGUUGGUCCUUCGGGAUCAGUGCCGCAGCUAACGCAUUAAGUGCUCCACCUGGGGACUACGGCCGCAAGGCU